This is a non-coding RNA of Ixodes scapularis (black-legged tick), 82 nucleotides long. The record is from Rfam. NCBI's taxonomy places the organism in Eukaryota, Metazoa, Arthropoda, Arachnida, Ixodida, Ixodidae.
GCUGUCGUGGCCGAGUGGUUAAGGCGAUGGACUAAAAAUCGAUUGGGGUCUCCCCGCACAGGUUCGAAUCCUGUCGACUGCG